CAAAAACAUAACAAAAUCACGACUCUCGGCAACGGAUAUCUCGGCUCUCGCCACGAUGAAGAAUGUAGCGAAAUGCGAUACUUAGUGUGAAUUGCAGAAUCCCGUGAAUCAUCAAGUCUUUGAACGCAAGUUGCGCCCGAGGCCUCGGCCAAGGGCACGUCUGCUUGGGCGUCGCACUACAAAAUUGCCCUCCCCAGCGAGGAGCGGAGAUGGCCGUCCGUGUCCCCAAGUGGCGCGGUCGGCUGAAAUGAGCACGAGGUCCGUCGAUCCGUCGCGACGAGCGGUGGCUCCCAAAAGGCCGGCGUUGGUUUGCGCUGAUCGAACGAUUCCUCGCGAGGAACUUUAUUCUGGGUCCAGCGGCCCGCCGCAGUGCGCGCAUGCUGAAUCUCUACCGCGUCCCCAAGUCAGGC
RNAcentral lists this ribosomal RNA (410 nucleotides) under Cupressus chengiana. RNAcentral describes it as "eukaryotic LSU rRNA". The stretch from base 21 to 174 matches the Rfam family "5.8S ribosomal RNA". The record is from RNAcentral. Lineage: Eukaryota; Viridiplantae; Streptophyta; Pinopsida; Cupressales; Cupressaceae.